CCUACGGGAGGCAGCAGUGGGGAAUAUUGGGCAAUGGAGGCAACUCUGACCCAGCAACGCCGCGUGAAUGAUGAAGGUCUUCGGAUUGUAAAGUUCUGUGAUGGGGGAUGAACACAAUGACGGUACCCCAAUAGCAAGCCACGGCUAACUACGUGCCAGCAGCCGCGGUAAUACGUAGGUGGCAAGCGUUAUCCGGAAUGACUGGGCGUAAAGGGUGCGUAGGUGGUUUAGUAAGUUGGCGGUGUAAUUCCGGGGCUCAACCUCGGCGCUACCGCCAAAACUAUUAGACUAGAGUGCAGGGGGGGUAAGUGGAAUUCCUAGUGUAGCGGUGGAAUGCGUAGAUAUUAGGAGGAACAUCAGGGGCGAAGGCGACUUACUGGACUGUAGCUGACACUGAGGCACGAAAGCGUGGGGAGCAAACAGGAUUAGAUACCCCGGUAGUC
RNAcentral lists this ribosomal RNA (443 nucleotides) under uncultured bacterium. RNAcentral's name for it is "partial 16S ribosomal RNA". It matches the Rfam family "Bacterial small subunit ribosomal RNA", at positions 338 to 795 of the family's 1533-position model. The record is from RNAcentral.